GAUGAACGCUGGCGGCGUGCCUAAUACAUGCAAGUCGAGCGAACGGACGAGAAGCUUGCUUUUCUGAUGUUAGCGGCGGACGGGUGAGUAACACGUGGAUAACCUACCUAUAAGACUGGGAUAACUUCGGGAAACCGGAGCUAAUACCGGAUAAUAUUUUGAACCGCAUGGUUCAAUAGUGAAAGACGGUCUUGCUGUCACUUAUAGAUGGAUCCGCGCUGCAUUAGCUAGUUGGUAAGGUAACGGCUUACCAAGGCAACGAUGCGUAGCCGACCUGAGAGGGUGAUCGGCCACACUGGAACUGAGACACGGUCCAGACUCCUACGGGAGGCAGCAGUAGGGAAUCUUCCGCAAUGGGCGAAAGCCUGACGGAGCAACGCCGCGUGAGUGAUGAAGGUCUUCGGAUCGUAAAACUCUGUUAUUAGGGAAGAACAUAUGUGUAAGUAACUGUGCACAUCUUGACGGUACCUAAUCAGAAAGCCACGGCUAACUACGUG
Molecule: ribosomal RNA, 497 nt
Filed under: uncultured bacterium
Lineage: Bacteria
Description: partial 16S ribosomal RNA
Rfam family: Bacterial small subunit ribosomal RNA
Source: RNAcentral